CAGUAGCCACGGUAAUACGUAGGUGGCAAGCGUUGUCCGGAAUUAUUGGGCGUAAAGGGCUCGCAGGCGGUUUCUUAAGUCUGAUGUGAAAGCCCCCGGCUCAACCGGGGAGGGUCAUUGGAAACUGGGAAACUUGAGUGCAGAAGAGGAGAGUGGAAUUCCACGUGUAGCGGUGAAAUGCGUAGGGAUGUGGAGGAACACCAGUGGCGAAGGCGACUCUCUGGUCUGUAACUGACGCUGGGGAGCGAAAGCGUGGGGAGCGAACAGGAUUAGAUACCCCUGUAGUCCCUGUCUCUUAUAC
RNAcentral lists this ribosomal RNA (301 nucleotides) under uncultured bacterium. RNAcentral describes it as "partial 16S ribosomal RNA". It matches the Rfam family "Bacterial small subunit ribosomal RNA", at positions 509 to 807 of the family's 1533-position model. The record is from RNAcentral.